This is a long non-coding RNA of Felis catus (domestic cat), 2378 nucleotides long. RefSeq lists it as uncharacterized. The transcript is spliced from 5 exons. Lineage: Eukaryota; Metazoa; Chordata; Mammalia; Carnivora; Felidae. The record is from RefSeq and is a predicted model, not a curated record.
GUCCGCACUUCCGACUGGCGCGCAGGGCGGAGCGAGCCUGUAAACCGCGGGCGGAAGAGGUGGAGCUGGGACGGCUCGGUGGCCCCCGGGAGGCUCGCGGAGCCAGGGGGAGGUGUCGCAGGGGUUGGUACCUACAAGUGUAACUGAAACGAGAGAUAGGAGAAACAAGAAAGUUCAAAGAUGUUAUGAACAGACUUGGCAUUGGGGAUUGUCUAGCAUCCUGUGCUGAUUUCUGAGAAGAGCCAUAAAUUACUGCAAUUUGUCAGGAAAUGUUGAUAUGAACAUGGGAAACUUAACCUGGAAGUUAUAAAAUAUUCUGUGCUGAAUUUUGUAAGAAAAGGGACCUUCAUGUGGUAUCUUGAGGCAAUUUACCAGAAAUGCUUACAUAGAAGAGUCUGUAUUGCCAACCUGGCUUCUCCUCACCUAGGAUACUUCGCAGCUCCUGGCGACUCCAGGCACCCCAGGGACCAUGCAUGUGAGGCUUUAUUCACUUCCCAUGAAGGGAGACUGCCAGAAGUCACAUAAGCAAAGAGUGAGGAGUUGGGAGCCUGGAAGCCGGGGAAACAUGAAUCACAACACCCAGAGUUGGGACUUAAGAACACUCCUGUGAGUCACAUCAACUUUUUUAACAUCCAAAUUUAGGGCUAUGGAAAUAAAAUAUUUGGUUAAUUAAAAACCCAAAAUCAAAGCCUCAGUACCAUUUUCUUUUUUUGCUAAAUGACUACAUUUAAAGAAGAUUGAUAAUAUACAAAAGAACCAGCAUGAAGAUUAUAAUAAAAAUGGAAAAGAAUAGGACAAAAUGGAGAUAGAGAAUAGAGCUUAAAAGAAGUUAUCCAGGGUAACAGAAUAAGAAUUUACUCAAAAAGAAAACUUCUCUUCAACUUAGAAAAAUCAAUACUCUUUCUUUCUUUUCUUUCUUCCUUCCUUCCUUCCUUCCUUCCUUCCUUCCUUCCUUCCUUCCUUCCUUCCUUCCUUCCUUCCUUCCUUCCUUCCUUCCUUUCUUUCUUUCUUUCUUUCUUUCUUUCUUUCUUUCUUUCUUUCUUUCCUUUUUCAAUAUUCUCUUUCUAUACUAGCAAAAGCCAACAAGACAAUAAUAGGAUAUAAUAAGCCAUUUGCAAAAGGAAAACAAUUCUGUAUUAUAUAGGAAUUAACCUGGUAAAGAAUGAAAAAGAGAAAAAUCUUAAAACUUGAUUGAAAGACAUAGAAAAUAUCUAAAUAAAUGAAGAUAUGUGUCUGUUUAUCUAUUAUCUAUCUAUUAUCUAUCAUCUAUUAUCUCUAUCUAUCUAUCUAUCUAUCAUCUAUCUCUAUCAUCUACCUGUCACUUGUCUAUCCAUACAUACAUGCUUAAGAGUAAAUAUAUCAUUUUUUUUCCAAAUUAGCCUGUAAAUUCAAUGCAUUUCCAACAAAUUGCCUCAAUCAUGGAGCCUACUGAAAGUGCAAAUUUAGGCAGGCAUUUGUAUGAUGUGACUCCCAGUGCAUGCAACACUCCAUAUUCUAAAGUCACCAUUAGAAUAAUUACUAAGAACAAAGAGAAUGUGAAUAGCAACCAAUAAACAUUAAUGAUAAGCUGUUUGUAGCUAAGAAUGAGUCCUCACGGAGACAUAGCUUUGCUGACCCUGUGAAGUGUUGAUUCAGUGUUCUCAUUUCCAGGAAUAUUGUUUCUAGUGUCAAAUGGGAUAUGGCUGUAUUUGAUGUAGGAAAUGUGAGGACAUGUGACAGCAGUGGGAAGGGUGCAUGUGGAGAAGCUAAGAAGUAGAGCCAGGAACACAUGGGAAAAAGAGAAACAGAGUUUAUACAAUGAUCUAUCAUGUCAAAACUCAUGUGAUGAUGAAAAAAGCUGAAGCUAUGAAGUAGUAAAAAGAAUACACAAUGAAGGAAUGGAUACACCAGUAGCACAGUAGGAGAUAACUCAGCAAAUUGGAAGCCAGAGGAGAGAUAAGCUGAGAGACAGAAUAAUUGGUUCCUACAUAUUUAUCAGUUCCUGACUGCUUAUCUGUUGAGAGUUGUAGUUCUAGACCUUAUACAGUAAAACCUUGGUUUGCGAGCAUAAUUCAUUGCAGAAACAUGUUUGUAAUCCAAAGCAUUUGUAUAUCAAAGCGAAUUUCUCCGUAAGAGGUAAUGAAAACUCAGAUGAUUCAUUCCACAACCCAAAAAUAUUCAUCUAAAAAUGAUUAUAGUACUGUAAUAUAAUACAAAAUAAUAAGGAAAAUACAAAGCAUAAAGAAAAAUAAAAAUUAACCUACACUCACCUUUGAAAAUCUUUAUGGCUGUUGUGAGGGAGAUAAGAGAGAGGAGGGUUAUUGUGUAGGACGACUUUCACUAUCACUAACAGAAGGUGACUACAGUACAGUAUUAAUAAAUUCUUGUGAUAUACUGUA